CUUAUCAAGAGUGGUUGAGGGAAUCGGCCCGAUGACACCCGGCAACCUGCGCUGUUUGCAAGGUGCUAACUCCGGCAGUUAAAUACUGAAAGAUGAGA
Molecule: non-coding RNA, 98 nt
Filed under: bovine gut metagenome
Description: SAM riboswitch (S box leader)
Rfam family: SAM riboswitch aptamer (S box leader)
About the family: The SAM riboswitch is found upstream of a number of genes which code for proteins involved in methionine or cysteine biosynthesis in Gram-positive bacteria.
Source: RNAcentral